GAGCAGCAAAAAUGGCAGCAGCUGAAAUGGAGAGAACGAUGUCGUUUGAUGCAGCUGAGAAGUUGAAGGCCGCCGAUGGAGGAGGAGGAGAGGUAGACGAUGAACUUGAAGAAGGUGAAAUUGUUGAAGAAUCAAAUGAUACGGCAUCGUAUUUAGGGAAAGAAAUCACAGUGAAGCAUCCAUUGGAGCAUUCAUGGACUUUUUGGUUUGAUAACCCUACCACUAAAUCUCGACAAACUGCUUGGGGAAGCUCACUUCGAAAUGUCUACACUUUCUCCACUGUUGAAGAUUUUUGGGGUGCUUACAAUAAUAUCCAUCACCCAAGCAAGUUAAUUAUGGGAGCAAACUUUCAUUGUUUUAAGCACAAAAUUGAGCCAAAGUGGGAAGAUCCUGUAUGUGCCAAUGGAGGG
This 410-nucleotide unclassified non-coding RNA is filed under the name Hevea brasiliensis (rubber tree). The record is from RNAcentral. Lineage: Eukaryota; Viridiplantae; Streptophyta; Magnoliopsida; Malpighiales; Euphorbiaceae.